Mus musculus (house mouse) is the source of this 8369-nucleotide long non-coding RNA. RefSeq annotates it as predicted gene 15609. The transcript has 3 exons. NCBI's taxonomy places the organism in Eukaryota, Metazoa, Chordata, Mammalia, Rodentia, Muridae. The record is from RefSeq and is a predicted model, not a curated record.
GCGCCGGGCUCGCUCCAUGCCACGGCCGCUCCGCGCCCCGCCUCCUCCGCCAGCUCCUCCCUCUGCGGGCGGCGGCGGCCGGCGCGCCCUGAGUCCGCGGUGCCCCCCGCAGACCCCACGCGGGCGGCUGGAAAGAAACACCGAGGGCCCAGAGGUGGGCGCACUGGGGAACGGCGGGCAGAACUGUCAGGCAACCUCUGCCUGAGGGUCUCUUCCUUCUCAGCACCCCCAACACACUCUGCCACAUCCUGGCUGGCAGACCACUGUCACACCAGGUUCCAACCUGAGCUCAUGUGUCAUCUCACCAUGCCAGUGGAACCUGGGUAUGUCACCCUAAGGAUGACAGUCAUGGCCACAAGCCCCCAUGGGGUCCACACACAGGCAACCUAUAAAUAAGAAAAGGCUAGCAAUCUAUGGAAAGCCAUUCCUAGUGUGUUUCCCACCCAUGCUACUGGUCAGCCAGACCUAAGGACAAAAGAAAAAUUAUGUGACUGAUUUCAGAGUACAGUAGGUAAUUUUGGGGUGUGGGGUUUUUUGGGGGGUUGUUUGUUGUUUUGGGAUUUUUUGUUCGUUUUUUGGUUUGGUUUGGGUUUUGGUGUGGGCUGUUUGUUUGUUUGUGUGUUUGUUGAGACAGAGUCUCACUGUGUAGCCCUGGCAGGCUAGGAACUCACAGAGAUCUGCCAGCCUCUGCCUCUCAAGAGCUGGAGUUAAAGCCCUGGAGUAUCUACCGUGCCUGACUCCCGGACUUGUAUUUAUCCUAAACUAACUUUGGAACAAUCCAGAAAGACCCCUGUAAUAGUAAGAGAUGCUAAAUUAAUUAAGCUUGUUUGAUAUAUUAAAUUGUUUGAAAACAGUGUUACAUAUGUAAUACUAAACCUCCUUUUGGGGUGGAGCCUGGGGGGUAAGGACAGGAAAUUCCUAUAUAGCCCAGGUGGGCCCCAAACUUGUUACUAUCCUGCCUUGGCCUCCACAGUCCUAGGAACAUAGGCAUACACCCUCCAGGUACCAAAUUUUAAACUGUAUUUUCACAUACUUUCCUGACUCAAACAUUCUAAAAUUGUACAGAACUCCUAGAAGUUUGACCUGUCUUGAUAUCCUCUUUUUGGUCGUUAAGUCUGGUUGUGAUAAAAUCUUGUAAUCGGUAAGAAGUAACGCAGUCGCUUGUCGGCUGACCUUAUCAUCAGAUCUCAGCCAUGGCUGAUUUCCAUCUUGUCAAGUAUACAGUUAUUCUUCUCAGUCUUUUCCAAAGGUGUGUGCAACAAGCUGCAGCCAAAAAUUAUCUCUCCUUCAAAGACAGUGUUGCACUUAGACAAGUGCUGUGGAAUCCAGGUUCCCAGCAACUUUCCGACCAUACCAUUAGCUUGAACAGGAAUUUUCAGGACUGUAAUGAAGAAGGGAAAGCCAGGGAUGGUGGCGCAUGCUCACAAGUAGUUCCGAGGCUGAGUCCAGAGGACUUGGUGAACCCAGGAGUCCAGGGCCAGCCUGGGCAAUAUAGAAACACUGAGAAGGGGUGGGGGCGGGAAGAGGAGAGAAGGGUAAAUGAAAAGCGAAUGAGAGAGAGGGAAGAAGAGAGAGAGAAGAGGAAGAAAAGAGGAGAGAAAAAGAGAAGAGGGAGAGGUGGAAGGAGAAAUACCCGGUGGUUUGGAGAGACUGCUAACCAAGUCCAAGCAAAACAAGACUUGGGACAAGGGCCUGGCAUAAUGCUCACACCUGCAGUCCUGGCACUUAAAGAUGAGGUAAGAGAUCAUCAUAAAUGCAAGCCCAGCCUGGAGGAGAGGGGGAACCCAGGCCUUUUAGGAUGCAGAAUAAGACUCUGUCUCAAAAUAAUAAACAAGCAGAAAAAGAAGUAAUAACAGACCGGAAAACAGGUGAGUUAUCUCAGUGUGUCUGAGUCCAGUUAAUUUCAGUGUAUGCUUUUUUUUUUUUUUUAACUUUUUUGUGUUUGGUUGGUUGCUUUGGUUUGGCUCGGUUUGGUUCCGUUCAAUCUGCGUAGCCCUGGCUGUCCUGGAACAGCUCUGUAGACCAGGCUAACCUUGUACUCCCAGAGAUAUGCUGGCCUCUGCCUCCCGAGUGCUGGGAUUAAAGGCAUGCGCCACCAUUGCCCAUCUUUUUCAAUUUUUUUGUUUUUUGUUUUUUUGUUUUUCGAGACAGGAUUUCUCUGUAUAGCCCUGGCUGCCCUGGAACUCACUCUGUAGACCAGGCUGGCCUCAAACUCAGAAAUCCGCCUGCCUCUGCCUCCCGAGUGCUGGGAUUAAAGGCGUGAGCCACCACUGCCUGGCUCAACUGUUUUAAUAACUUUUUUUUUUAAGAAAAAAGAUGAGGUGAGUGGUUGUAUGUGUAUUUGAGUUUCUUCUCAUUUUAAUGUUCUAGAUUUAAGGAAAUAUGCUUCCCUUGUCCUUUAGGCUCUCUGUGGCCUAUUGGUUACUUUUUGAAAAUUAAAACUGAAAUAUUCACUCCUUCCCCCCACCCCCCCCUCCACCUGAUCCUUCAGCACUGGAAAAGCUGAUCGUGGAUAUUUUUAUUACGUGGGAAUAUAAUUGUCUGCACAAGUUCCGUAGGAAACUUCUGUUUUUUAAUAGAGUACAAUUGGAAAAACCGAUUCCACCACCAAGGCUUUGGUUAGAAUGUGCUUUGAGAAUCUGCAUAGGAUGGCAACCUGCAAGAGCUGUCCCAAGCCUUGUUGUGAGUAAAAUCUCACUUCCUGCCAGGUUUCCUCCAGAAACGUGAAGGUAUUUGAAAGACCUUAAAAAAAAAAAAAAAGAGUAACGACUGCAGAGAAAGUUGGAGGUUUGUCUUGAUAUAAAGUCCAAACGGAGGCCCCUUAUCAAGCAUUUCAGCUAAACAGACUUAAGAAGAGCCUAUGUCGUUAACUAUGUCCUUACUAAAGGAGUGGUUGUGUUGUUAUUGCUGUUGCUGGAAGAUAGUAUCAUGUAGUCCAGGCUGGCCUCAAAUUCACUUUCAUGAGGCUUAUAGGUGUGCUCUACUGUGACUGCCUUAUUCAGUCCUGGUGAUACAACCCAGAGCUCUACAUAGCUGGGCCCCUGCCUACCAAUUUAACUAUGUUCUAAGCCUUUCCUACUAAAUGUGUAUAAAUAGGCUAAGGUUCAAGAGAAUGAUGUGGCUACAGAGAAGAAAAUUAUGCUUCAGAGAAAAACUGCAGUACACUGUUCUGAGACUGUGGGCCUGCUAACUGUUUUGGAAUGCUAUUACUACUAUUUAUUACCUGUAGACCUAACUGGAUAGUGAUUUUCCAUUUUCCUCCAUUUGAAUUUUUUUCCCCACAUUUCCAACUUAGAAUCACUAAGAACAAGACCUGCUCGGUUCCUGAAAACUCCGAAGCUGGAGAGAGACACAUUGAUGUAAUUCCAGAGGAUAACCCUACCCCCGAUGCUGGCCACCAGGGGAGGCCAGGCAUCUCUGUGCCAGAAAUACGGGCGUUCAAGAUGCGAGCCAGGAAACAUGCUUAGAGCUCAACUCCAGAAAUCUUGGCUAACUCCCUUCUGGACUCCCAACUGAUUUUGUUUGUUCUAAUGAUUUGCCUUUGCUAGGGUUUUAUCCUAUAGAAAUAUUAUCCUGAGCCAGACAUGGCUCAGCACACCUUUAAUCUCAGCACUCGAAAGCAGAGGCAGGUGGAUCUCUGUAAAUUGGAGGCCAGAUUGGUCUACAUAGUGAGUUUCAGGAUAUACAGAGAGACCCUGUCUCAAAAAAAAAAUUGUGUCUGUGUGUGUGUCUGUGUGUAUCUGUGUGUGUGUGUGUGUGUGUCUGUGUGUGUGUGUGUGUCUGUGUGUGUGUGUGUCUGUGUCUGUGUGUCUGUGUGUGUGUGUAUAUAAAAGUUUGGUUGGUAGAAUCCUCAGCUAAGGACAAACUCUAUUCCUGGGCAUCUGCCUGAUACUCCUCUCAUUCUCCAGCAUUCUACAUUCUUUCUAGGGUCUCAAAAGUGUCUCCACAGCCAUCCACAAUGUGCUCACACCAAAAAUGAGAUUUUUUUUUUUAAAAAAAAACUUCAACAUCUUAACAGUAUGAUUGGAGUCAAAGACAUCGUGCCCAUGACACAUGGUUCCAAUUAUGCUCCGAGUUCUGGUCAAAGUGGAUAACUUGUUUUAAGUGCCAGGCAUAGGGUGAAACAUGUCUUUAAACUCAGCACUUGGAUCUCCCUGGGAGUUUGAGGCCAGCCUGGUCUAUGUAGUGAAUUCCUGGCCAGCCACAGUGAGACCCUGUCUCAAAAACUAAUAAUAAAUUUUACAAAAUCAUCUAAUUGCAAUGCCAUUAAUAAGAGUGACUCUGGCCACUCUUUAAAUUCCUACCAAACAAGCCAGGGUGACAGUAAACCAUCGUCUGAAGCCAGAGGCCACACUAAUGAGACCACCAACUAACUACAAAAAACAAAUCUUUUCUUGUCUCUACAAAGAUAUGACCUUUUGCUCCUUCAUAGAGUACAACCUCCACUUAUGAACUGCAGAAUAAUCAAAACUCCUUGUAGCUCAGUGGUUUAGAGCACUAGCUACUCCUCUAGAAGACCCAGGUUCAAUUCCCAGCACCCACAUUGCAGCUCACAACUGUCUGUAACUCCAGUUCCAGGGGAUCCAUCCGACCAAACAUGCCUGUGGUGCACAUAUAUGUGCAUGCAGACAAAAUACACAUACAUAUAAAGUAAAAUAAAUAUUCGAAAAAUAACUUAGGACUGCUUAUGUUUUUCAUUCAACAAUGGGUUCUUUGCUACAUCAAAAGCAUGAGCAAAUAAAAAACAAAAACGAGCAGGUUUUUGUGUCUACGAAGACAAGUGCCUGUGGUGAGGCAGGAAGAUCACCUGAGACCAGAAUUCAAAAUGAAUCUGGGCAAGAAACAGAGCAGUAUACAGGAUCUGGUUUCUGCAAUCCCUAUUCUCAGAAGCUAAGGUAGAAGAACUGUCAAGAGUUUGACCCCAGCCUGGGCUACAUACCAAGUUUAACAACAGCCUGGGCUAUAGUGAAACCCUAUCUCAAAAAAAUAGAUAUAUAUGAUACAUUUUUUUAAUUUGUUACAUCUAUUUAUUUGUGUACGUGUAUAUAUAUAUGUGUGUGUGUGUGUGUGUGUGUGUGUGUGUGUGUGUGUGUGUGUAUGCACAUGCAUGUUCCGUGGCCCACAUGUGAAAGUCCUUCCACCAUGUGGGUUUCCCAGGGAUUGAUCUAGUUGCCAGGCUUGGCAGCAAGCUCCUUUAACCAUUAACCCAUCUUGCUGGCCAUCUAUUCUUUGUAUAUUCAAAAUAUAUAAAGAAUUCUUAUAAUCCAACAAUAAGUAAAACGGUUUUUAAGUUAGAAAAGGCCUUCACUUUUCUCCAAAGACACACAAGUGAACAACAAACUCUUGUAAAUAAGCUUAAUAUCACUGGUCACUAGGAAACCACAAACCACAAUGAAAUAUCGCACCAUAUCCAACAGAAUUAACUACAAUUUAAAAAAUAAAUAAAUAAGCACCAGACAGGCUUCAGGAAGAAUGUAAAGAAGUUAAAAAGUUAGAAACUUACGCACGGCUGACAGAAGUUUGGUGGGAAACAGUUUGGAAGUUCCUCUAAAACUGUAAGAAAUGUCAUGUCACCUAGAAAUUCCACCCCUCAGGAUAAACCCAGAAGAAGUGUAAACAAGUAUUCAUAUAAAUACACGUACAGACAUGUUUGUGAUGGUGAUAGCAAUAUUCAUAUGUUAUAGGAACCAGCUAGAGAGAUGGCCCAGCUGUUAAGAGGGUAUGCCACUCAGCCCAGCGGUGGUGUCCUACUCAGGAGACAAAGGUAGGUGGAUCUCUGAAUUUGAGGCCAGCUUGGUUUACAGAGCUAGUUCCAGGACAGCCAGGACUGCACAGAGAAACUCUGUCUCAAAGAAAACACAAGGGGCCUGGAAAGAUGGCUCAAAGGUUAAGAGCACUGACUGCUCUUCUAGAGGCCGGGAGUUCAAUUCCCAGAACCCACAUGGUGGCUCACAACCAUCUGUAAUGGGAUCCGAUGCCCUCUUCUGGGGUGUCUGAGGACAGCCACAGUGUAUUCAUACACAUAAAAUGAAAAUUAAAGAGUGAAUGCUUCUCUUGCAAAGGGUCAUAAGUUUGGUUCCCAGUACCAAUUGGGUGGCUCACAACCAGCUGUAUCUCUAGUUCCAGGAAAUCAGAUACCCUCUUCUGGCCCCCAAGGGAACAUGUAUUAUGCAUGUGAUGCACAUACAGAUAAGCAGGCUUGUGCAUGUGAGAACACACACACACAAUAUAUUUUAACAUAGAAACAAUCUAUAUAUUCACCCACAAAUAAAUGGAUAAGCCAAAUACCAUCCAUAAAGACAGUAGAAUGGUUUUUUAUCCUUAAGGUAGAAUAAAGUGGUGACCUUACAAGGCAGAUGAAGCUCAAAAAGAAAAAGAGUAAAAGAAGUCAAACACAGAGAGUGGUAGUAUAAUCCCAUUGAUAUGAAACAGCAAUAACAGCUAAAUGCAAAGAGGAAUUAUUUUCUCAGCUGACAGGUUGGCAGAAGAGGGUAAUACAGAAUAAUUGCCUAACAUAUCUGAGAUAUUCUUUGGAGCAAUGAAAAUAUUUGGGGAUCAUGAAAUUCUUGGACAAAUGGAUGUAUCUGGAGGAUAUCAUCCUUAGUGAGGUAACCUAAUCACAAAAGAAGUCAUUAGAUAUGCACUCACUGAUAAGUGGAUAUUAGCCCAGAAACAUAGAACACCCAAGAUACAAUUUGCAAAACACAAGAAAAUCAAGAAGAGGGAAGACCAAUGGGUGAUACUUCCUUCCUCCUUAGAAUAGGGAACAAAAUACCCAUGAAAGGAGUUACAGAGACAAAGUUUGGAGGUAAGACGAAAGGAUGAACUAUCCACAGACUACCCCACCCGGGGAUCCAUCUCAUAAUCAGCCACCAAACCCAGACACUAUUGCAUAUGCCAGAAAGAUUUUGCUGAAGGGACCCUGUUAUAGCUGUCUCGUAUGAGGCUAUGCCAGUGCCUGGCAAAUACAGAAGUAGAUGCUCACAGUCAUCUAUAAGAUGGAACACAAGGCCCCAAAUAGAGAAGCUAGAGAAAGCACCCAAGGAGCUGAAGGGGACUGCAACCCUAUAGGUGGAACAACAAUAUGAACUAACCAGUACCCCCAGAGCUCUUGACUCUAGCUGCAUAUGUAGUAGAAGAUGGCCUAGUCGGCCAUCACAGGGAAAAGAGGCUCCUUGGUCUUGUAAACUUUAUAUGCCCCAGUACAGGGGAAUGCCAGGGCCAAGAAGCGGGAGUGGGUGGGUAAGGGAGCAGGGUGGAGGGAGGGUAUAGGGAACUUUCAGGAUAGCAUUUGAAAUGUAUAUAAAGAAAAUAUCUAAUAAAAAAAGAAAAUAUUUGGGGAUCAAUAAAACCAGCAUACAAUGUUGUAAAUGUGAGGGAUGCCCUGGAUUGCCACUAAGAGUCAUCAAUUUUAGGUAAGGAACAUUUCACCUUAAUUUAAAAACUAAAACUACACUAUGGGCCGGCAUGGGCCUGCAGCACUACCUGCUAGCUUUGUCUAUAAAAAGUAGAGGUGGGACCAGCAGAGCAAGCUUCAUCUUGAGCUGAUGACCGGUGUAGAAACGCAGGUUCCAUCCAGGCCCAGACUCAGAACCUACCCUGAACAAGCUCUCCAGGUGACAUCACCAUAGGAGGCGCGUUUCCCAAGGCACUUACCAAAAAUGAGAUAGAUGGUCCAUGAGAACAUAUAUGCAUAGAGUAUUUUCAUGCACACAGGCGCUUGACUGAAAGAGGACAGCCCCGUGACAGAGGCAGGAAGCGAGAGGAAGCCUCUGGCAGGACAGAGUCCUGCCCAAGGUCUGUUGGUCCCUAAAGAGAAGUAAGCCUGCCAAGACACAGGACGUGUCCUGUCUCUUGAAGCAUGACACUAGUGCCUACCCUACCCGACCCUCAGGAAGGAAGAGGAGGGUGAAUAGGCAGAGAGUUCCACAUAGCUCUCCAUGUGUAAGCCUCUGCCCAAAGACCAGAGUGAGACCUAGGAACGCACAACUAUCACUUAAGAAAUGUCCUUGGAGUAAAGAUGUGCAGAUGACAGACCCGAGCCCCCACAUCUAAGGAUGGGUUUUGUCACGAACCCUGUGGAGAUUUGGUUUCCUUCUCUGUUAAGAGGCCCAAUAAUCAACUUCACAAAAGGAUAGUGGGAAGAUAAACUGGAAUAAGAAAGUUCAAAAUAAAUCAUCCUACGCAAGGACAACUGGUUAUGUUCUGCUCAGGUUUGGUUUUUGUUUGUUUAUUUGUUGACAACUUUAUACAAGCCAGGGUCAUCUAGGAAGAGGAAGCUUCAGUUAAGAAAACAGCUCCAUCAGACUGACCUACAGGCCAGUUGGGGCGAUGAUGGUGAUGAUGGUGGUGGUGGUGGUGGUGAUGAC